UGCCAGCCGCCGCGGUAACACGUAGGAUUCAAACGUUAUCCGGAUUUACUGGGCGUAAAGCGCGUGUAGGCGGUUUGGUAAGUUGGAUGUGAAAGCUCCAGGCUCAACCUGGAGAGGUCGUUCAAAACUGCCAGACUAGAGGACGGUAGAGGGAGGUGGAAUUCCGGGUGUAGUGGUGAAAUGCGUAGAUAUCCGGAGGAACACCAGUGGCGAAGGCGGCCUCCUGGGCCGUUCCUGACGCUCAGACGCGAAAGCUAGGGUAGCGAACGGGAUUAGAUA
This 279-nucleotide ribosomal RNA is filed under the name uncultured bacterium. RNAcentral's name for it is "partial 16S ribosomal RNA". It matches the Rfam family "Bacterial small subunit ribosomal RNA", at positions 506 to 784 of the family's 1533-position model. The record is from RNAcentral.